AGGACGAACGCUGGCGGCGUGCUUAACACAUGCAAGUCGAGCGGAAAGGCCCUUCGGGGUACUCGAGCGGCGAACGGGUGAGUAACACGUGAGUAAUCUGCCCCUAGCUCUGGGAUAGCUCCGGGAAGCCGGGAUUAAUACCGGAUAUGACCACUUUAGACAUCUGCUGUGGUGGAAGAUUUCGGCUAGGGAUGAGCUCGCGGCCUAUCAGCUUGUUGGUGGGUAACGGCCUACCAAGGCGACGACGGGUA
Molecule: ribosomal RNA, 251 nt
Filed under: uncultured bacterium
Lineage: Bacteria
Description: partial small subunit ribosomal RNA
Rfam family: Bacterial small subunit ribosomal RNA
Source: RNAcentral